This 161-nucleotide unclassified non-coding RNA is filed under the name uncultured Dactylaria. Its description in RNAcentral is "sequence contains ITS1". The record is from RNAcentral. Lineage: Eukaryota; Fungi; Ascomycota; Orbiliomycetes; Orbiliales; Orbiliaceae.
CCGAGUUUACAACUCCCAAACCCCUGUGAACAUACCUAUCGUUGCUUCGGCGGAACGCCCCGGCGCACUCGCUGCCCGGGCCCAGGCGCCCGCCGGAGACCACACAAACUCUCUUGUCUUUUAUUACGUAUUCUGAGUGGCAUAAUGCAAAAAAUGAAUCA